UUGAGUGCAGAAGAUAAAGUUAAAAAUGGUGGAGUCUGGAGCUGUCUCUAAUUCUUGUAUUGUUUGGGAGAAGAAAUUAUAUCCUUCCUCCCAGAAAACUGUAAGUAGUUUGCAUUGCUCAUUUUAUGCUUUCAGCAUUUUAAGGAGGGGAAAAAAAAAAAAAAAAGAAGUUGUGCCCUUAGUCUGUUCUUGGGUAGGGAACAGAGAAGCCUUGGAAAUAGCUGUGACAGCCAAGGGACACAGGUGGCAAAAGCUGUGAGAGGCAUGGCUGGUGCAUGGUUUGAGCUGGAGUGGUCAGUGCUUCCCUGCCCCACCUGGGCUCAGGGGGCACCAUCUGGGUCACUCCUUCCCUGACCUGAUGGGUGGCACUGUCACAUCAGGGAUGCUCUUACCUGUGGGGCAGUAACAGCGAGGAGUAUUCAGAGGUGGGCUGGGGUCUCUCACUGCUCUGAGGAGUGUACACGUGUGUUGGUGACACUGAGCAGCAGAAGUACAGAUUGUGCUGGGUCAGAUUUUGGGGAGUUAUUUUCCAGCAGACACUUGUGCUGUUGGGGAACUUGUGCUGGCACUUGCUGAUCCAAACGUGGAAGAGCAGCAUAGUUCACAACCUACCUGUAUCUAGUUUAAUGGCAAACCCGUCCUCACCUCCCAGCAUUAUGGUGUGAAACAUGAGCUCUCCUUUCAAAGCUUAUUAAACCCAAUUGUGAAAUGUAAAAUUUGCUCUAGUGGUAUCUGUUGAAUUGUGAAGAUUGGCCUCUCUUGCAAAAAGACAAAUGGUUGGGAUUGGGGCUGUUUUUCUCUUAGAAAGAGGUAAGUCUCUUCUGGUCUGAGUCUGAACACUUGAGAGGAAGUGUCAUAAAGAGCUUGCUUUUUUUCUAAUGUUUGAGCUGAAAACACCAUUAUGUUACAUAGAAAAUUAAGGCUAUUUCAGAGACAGGAUAGACAGUGUCUGUUCAUUCUUUCCUUGCCUAUUUUUUUGCUACACUUUUAUUAUCAACCAUUCAGUUCUUGCCACCGAUUUAACAACUCUUUGUUACUAGCAUGUAAUGAAAAGCUUUUUGCCAUAAAAGAGGGCAAUGUUAUCAGAACAUAGAACCCCAUUCAUCUGUUCGUUUUCUUGUGGUAGUGUGUGUAAGCCAGAUUUAUUGAUACUGUGCUUUGAAUGACAACUGAAGUGGUGGGGAUUUUUUCGGUCACAUAAAAAGAUAAAGAUGCACUAAUAUGCUUUAAUUAUUGAAUAGUAAGCUGCUUCACUUGUAAGGAAGUUUGCUCAAGAACAAAGAAACAAGAACCAAAGCUUAUGAGAAUCUUGGUCAAGCUUGGAAAGCUAUUGAAAGAUAUCUAUUACAUACACACACAUGUAUAUCUAUCUUGAAUACUUGCAUGAAGGAUGACAAAGUAAUGCAGAAUAGAAUGUCUUUUAGUCUCUCCAAAUCAACUUCUAUCUAUUUCAUAUUUGAAAUAAUUAAUUUUAAGCUGAACAGAAUUUCUCAGUUUAGUAUCAGAAAAAGUCUAAAGUCCAAUUUAGGUUCACUGAUGUAAGUGAAAUACCUAAGCCUCUUUUGUAUGUACAGUUGAUAAACUGUUGUUGUUUUGCAGAAACCUCUAUGAAUGUGCUGUGCAGUGGCAAGUUUGCCAUAUUGGAACCAGCUCCACCAGCCCUAGUGAUUUUUGUCUGAGAUAUACUAGAAAUAGGGUUUUGCUGUUUGUGUGAGGGUAUCCUAUAAUACAAUUGUUAUUUGUUAAAGCAUUGCUUAGAAAUCUUAAGGAACACACUACUAGCUGUUGGACUUGAAUUUGUUAUAUUUAUGGCUGGAGACAGAUUCACUGUGGCUUUCUACAAAAAUCCCAAUAUGCUGUUCAAAGUUGUUCUCUUUAAACCCUUUGAAAACAUCCACAUAGUCAUUUAUAUUAUCUAGGUCACAACUGCCUUCAGUUUGGAUUUCAUGUGGUAGCAUUUAGCUACAGGGUUUUUCACUGCUCAGCCAUUUGCUGUAUAACCCACUCCUUUACGAGGAGAGACUUCAAAAUCAGAUCUGAGAUGAUUUCUCCUUUGCAUUGCUGCCUUAAGCAUAAUGGGAACUAACCACUAAUGUAAGAAAUUUAAUAGGGGAGUACAGUCAGAUUUUGCCAAGGUCCUUAAACUGUCAGUGUAUUGUGACUCAAACUGAGUAUUUGCAUGAUUUUCAACAUUAUGAUGGAAAGGCAUUAAAAGGGGAGGGAGGUGUAAAAUGCUUCACAUCACAGCCUCAGGCUUUUUUUGUCAUCCACAGUAAGACCAGCAGUUAAGUUUAGGUAUUUUGGGGAACUUCUUGAGUGCUGGAGAUUCAUUUGGCUGAGAUAGCUUACUCAUGCAAGAGUCCAGUAGAUGGGAGGCGGUUUUGUCUGGGUCAAAAAGACUAAGGCUUAGGGUCUGAUAGACAAGAUAUAUCUUUUAUUAUACAAUAAAGAAUAUUAUGUGCUGUAAAUUAAGGCA
Molecule: long non-coding RNA, 2476 nt
Organism: Manacus vitellinus (golden-collared manakin)
Lineage: Eukaryota; Metazoa; Chordata; Aves; Passeriformes; Pipridae
Source: Ensembl